ACUUAAAUAGUUUAAUUAAAAUAUUGAUUUGUGGAGUCAAAGAUAUAAUUUUUAUUUUAGGUC
Molecule: transfer RNA, 63 nt
Filed under: Schultesia lampyridiformis
Lineage: Eukaryota; Metazoa; Arthropoda; Insecta; Blattodea; Blaberidae
Description: tRNA-His
Source: RNAcentral